AACGAACGCUGGCGGCAGGCUUAACACAUGCAAGUCGAACGAUGUAGCAAUACAUAGUGGCGCACGGGUGAGUAACGCGUGGGAAUGUACCAUUUGGUGGGGAAUAACUCCGGGAAACUGGAGCUAAUACCGCAUACGCCCUUCGGGGGCAAGAUUUAUCGCCAAAUGAUCAGCCCGCGUGAGAUUAGGUAGUUGGUGGGGUAAUGGCCUACCAAGCCGACGAUCUCUAGCUGGUCUCAGAGGAUGAUCAGCCACACUGGAACUGAGACACGGUCCAGACUCCUACGGGAGGCAGCAGUGGGGAAUAUUGGGCAAUGGACGAAAGUCUGACCCAGCCAUGCCGCGUGAGUGAUGAAGGCUCUAGGGUUGUAAAGCUCUUUCGCCGAUGAAGAUAAUGACGGUAGUCGGAGAAGAAGCCCCGGCUAACUUCGUGCCAGCCGCCGCUGUAA
Molecule: ribosomal RNA, 449 nt
Filed under: uncultured bacterium
Lineage: Bacteria
Description: partial 16S ribosomal RNA
Rfam family: Bacterial small subunit ribosomal RNA
Source: RNAcentral